This is a non-coding RNA of Brienomyrus brachyistius, 79 nucleotides long. The record is from the annotation of a RefSeq genome assembly. NCBI's taxonomy places the organism in Eukaryota, Metazoa, Chordata, Actinopteri, Osteoglossiformes, Mormyridae.
GCUGCGAUGGCAGAGUGGUUAAGGCGUUGGACUCGAAAUCCAAUGCAUACAAACGCAGGUUCAAACCCUGCUCGCAGUG